This 254-nucleotide ribosomal RNA is filed under the name uncultured bacterium. RNAcentral's name for it is "partial 16S ribosomal RNA". It matches the Rfam family "Bacterial small subunit ribosomal RNA", at positions 99 to 354 of the family's 1533-position model. The record is from RNAcentral.
CGGACGGGUGAGUAACGCGUGGGUAACCUGCCUCAUACAGGGGAUAACAGUUAGAAAUGACUGCUAAUACCGCAUAAGCGCACAGGACCGCAUGGUCCGGUGUGAAAAACUCCGGUGGUAUGAGAUGGACCCGCGUCUGAUUAGCUGGUUGGUGAGGUAACGGCCCACCAAGGCGACGAUCAGUAGCCGGCCUGAGAGGGUGAACGGCCACAUUGGGACUGAGACACGGCCCAAACUCCUACGGAAGGCAGCAG